RNAcentral lists this ribosomal RNA (500 nucleotides) under uncultured bacterium. RNAcentral's name for it is "partial 16S ribosomal RNA". It matches the Rfam family "Bacterial small subunit ribosomal RNA", at positions 28 to 507 of the family's 1533-position model. The record is from RNAcentral.
GACGAACGCUGGCGGCGUGCUUAACACAUGCAAGUCGAACGGGUCUGCCCUGUUUUUUGCGGGGUGGGUCAGUGGCGAACGGGUGAGUAACACGUGAGUAACCUGCCCCUCACUUCUGGAUAACCGCUUGAAAGGGUGGCUAAUACGGGGUGUUCUGGCUGUGCCGCAUGGUGUGGCUGGGAAAGAUUCACUUUUGUGGUGUUUUGGUGGGGGAUGGGCUCGCGGCCUAUCAGCUUGUUGGUGGGGUGAUGGCCUGCCAAGGCUUUGACGGGUAGCCGGCCUGGGAGGGUGGGCGGUCACACUGGGAAUGAGAUACGGCCCAGACUCCUGCGGGAGGCAGCAGUGGGGGGUAUUGCACAAUGGGCGGAAGCCUGAUGCAGCGACGGCGCGUGAGGGAUGGAGGCCUUCGGGUUGUGAACCUCUUUCGCCGGUGAAGAAGGUCCUGCUCUUUGUGGUGGGGUUGACGGUAGCCGGGUUAUGAAGCGCCGGCUAACUACGUG